UCAAGAUAGUAAGAGCAUGCGGUGGAUGCCUUGGCACCAGCCGGCGAUGAAGGACGCGGUGGGCGGCGAAACGCCACGGGGAGCUGCCGAACAAGCUUCGAUCCGUGGGUGUCCGAAUGGGGCAACCCACCUGGAGAGAACUCCAGGUAUCACAGGCUGAAUAAAUAGGCCUGUGAGGCGAACCCGGGGAAGUGAAACAUCUCAGUACCCGGAGGAAAAGAAAUCAAAAGAGAUUCCCUUAGUAGCGGCGAGCGAAAAGGGAAGAGCCUAAACCAAUCUCUUUGAGAUUGGGGUUGUGGGACCGCAGAGUACUAAUGUAUUUUCUUAGCUGAAUUGAUCUGGAAAGAUCAGCCAUAGAAGGUGAUAGCCCUGUAAGCAAAAAGAAAAUACAUGGGAAGCGGUAUCCCGAGUACCACGAGGCACGUGGAACCUUGUGGGAAGCUGGGGGGACCACCCUCCAAGGCUAAAUACGUGCUGGUGACCGAUAGUGCACAAGUACCGUGAGGGAAAGGUGAAAAGAACCCCUGUGAGGGGAGUGAAAUAGAACCUGAAACCGCAUGCUUACAAGGUCUCGGAGGAAGCAUAUGCUUCUGACGGGGUACCUUUUGAUUAAUGGGCCAGCGAGUUACUGGCACUAGCAAGGCUAAGGGCUUCAGGCUCGGAGCCGUAGGGAAACCGAGUCCGAAUAGGGCGUUAAGUUGGUGUCAGUAGACCCGAAACCAGUCGAUCUACCCAUGGCCAGGAUGAAGGAGGGGUAAAACCCUCUGGAGGUCCGAACCGGUGUUUGGUGCAAAAAGCUCGGAUGAGCUGUGGGUAGGGGUGAAAGGCCAAUCAAGGCUGGUGAUAGCUGGUUCUCCCCGAAAUGCAUUGAGGUGCAGCCUCUGGUAAUAGCCGCAAGGGGGUAGGGCACUGGAUGGGCUAGGGCGGCGUAAGCCGUACCAAACCCAACCAAACCACGAAUACCUUGUUGGUGUUUCCAGGGAGUGAGACUACGAGUGCUAAGAUCCGUGGUCGAGAGGGAAAUAGCCCAGACCGUCAGCUAAGGUCCCUAAGAGAAUGCUAAGUGGUAAAGGAUGUGGCGCCACAAAGACAGCCAGGAUGUUGGCUUAGAAGCAGCCAUCAUUUAAAGAAAGCGUAAUAGCUCACUGGUCGAGUGGUGCUGCGCCGAAAAUUUAACGGGGCUCAAGCAUUCCACCGAAGCUACGGAUUUACCGAAAGGUAAAUGGUAGGGGAGCAUUCUGCUAACCUGCGAAGGUAGGUCGUGAGGCCUGCUGGAGGAGGCAGAAGAGACAAUGCUGGCAUAAGUAGCGUAAAGGCUGAUGAGAAGUCAGCCCGUCGUAAGCCUAAGGUUUCCCGGGGAAGGUACAUCCGCCCGGGGUUAGUCGGGACCUAAGGCGAGGCCGAAAGGCGUAGCUGAUGGACAGCCGGUUAAUAUUCCGGCACCACCUAAAUAGCGUUAUUACCGAAGGGGGGACGCAGGAGGAUAGCCUGAGCCUGCUAUGGUUUGCAGGUCCAAGCGUCGAGGCUGAGGGAAGAGGCAAAUCCCUUCCCUCUUAAGGCUGAGGCGUGACGGGGAAGGCCGUAAGGCCAAACUCGGGUGAUUUCACACUGACGAGAAAAGCCUCGUAGGGAGUUAUUUAGGUGCCCGUACCGCAAACCGACACUGGUAGGCGAGUAGAAGAUACUAAGACGUUCGGGAGAACCCUCCCCAAGGAACUCGGCAAACUGACCCCGUAACUUCGGGAGAAGGGGUGCCUCAUUAGGGUGAGGAUGCAAAUCCAAGCCCGAAGAGGCCGCAGUAAAGAGGGCCUGGCGACUGUUUACCAAAAACACAGGUGCCUGCUAACUCGUAAGAGGAUGUAUAGGCACUGACGCCUGCCCGGUGCCGGAAGGUUAAGGGGAGGAGUCAGGGGGUAACCUCGAAGCUCCAAACCGAAGCCCCGGUAAACGGCGGCCGUAACUAUAACGGUCCUAAGGUAGCGAAAUUCCUUGUCGGGUAAGUUCCGA
Molecule: ribosomal RNA, 2007 nt
Filed under: hot springs metagenome
Description: bacterial LSU rRNA
Rfam family: Bacterial large subunit ribosomal RNA
Source: RNAcentral